ACUCAAAGGAAUAGACGGGGGCUCACACAAGCGGUGGAGCAUGUGGCUUAAUUCGAGGCUACGCGCAGAACCUUAUCCUGGGCUUGACAUGCACGGAUUAGCCGGCGGAAACGCCGGUGAGGCCGCAAGGUACAACGUGCACAGGUGCUGCAUGGCUGUCGUCAGCUCGUGUCGUGAGAUGUUGGGUUAAGUCCCGUAACGAGCGAAACCCUUGCCCUUAGUUGCCAGCACGUCAUGGUGGGAACUCUAAGGGGACCGCCGGCGUUAAGCCGGAGGAAGGCGGGGAUGACGUCAAGUCCUCAUGGCCCUUAUGCCCAGGGCUGCACACGUGCUACAAUGGGCCGGACAGAGCGUCGCCAAGUCGCAAGGCCGAGCUAAUCGCAAAAACCGGCCCUCAGUUCGGAUUGUGGGCUGCAACCCGCCCACAUGAAGCUGGAAUCGCUAGUAAUCGCGGAUCAGCACGCCGCGGUGAAUGGGUUCCUGAGCCUUGCACACACCGCCCGU
Molecule: ribosomal RNA, 504 nt
Filed under: uncultured bacterium
Lineage: Bacteria
Description: partial 16S ribosomal RNA
Rfam family: Bacterial small subunit ribosomal RNA
Source: RNAcentral